This 777-nucleotide ribosomal RNA is filed under the name uncultured bacterium. RNAcentral's name for it is "bacterial SSU rRNA". It matches the Rfam family "Bacterial small subunit ribosomal RNA", at positions 8 to 796 of the family's 1533-position model. The record is from RNAcentral.
AGAGUUUGAUCCUGGCUCAGGACGAACGCUGGCGGCGUGCUUAACACAUGCAAGUCGAACGGACCUUGGGGGCUUGCCUUCGGGGUUAGUGGCGAACGGGUGAGUAACACGUGAGUAACCUGCCCCUGACUCUGGGAUAACUGCUGGAAACGGUGGCUAAUACCGGAUAUGAGACUUCCUCGCAUGGGGUUGUCUGGAAAGAUUUUUUGGUUGGGGAUGGACUCGCGGCCUAUCAGCUUGUUGGUGGGGUGAUGGCCUACCAAGGCGACGACGGGUAGCCGGCCUGAGAGGGCGACCGGCCACACUGGGACUGAGACACGGCCCAGACUCCUACGGGAGGCAGCAGUGGGGAAUAUUGCACAAUGGGCGCAAGCCUGAUGCAGCGACGCCGCGUGAGGGAUGGAGGCCUUCGGGUUGUAAACCUCUUUCAGCAGGGAAGAAGCUUUCGGGUGACGGUACCUGCAGAAGAAGCGCCGGCUAACUACGUGCCAGCAGCCGCGGUAAUACGUAGGGCGCAAGCGUUGUCCGGAAUUAUUGGGCGUAAAGAGCUCGUAGGCGGUUUGUCGCGUCUGCUGUGAAAACCUUAGGCUCAACCUGGGGCUUGCAGUGGGUACGGGCAGACUAGAGUGCGGUAGGGGUGACUGGAAUUCCUGGUGUAGCGGUGGAAUGCGCAGAUAUCAGGAGGAACACCGAUGGCGAAGGCAGGUCACUGGGCCGCAACUGACGCUGAGGAGCGAAAGCAUGGGGAGCGAACAGGAUUAGAUACCCUAGUAGUCC